Non-coding RNA from Heterocephalus glaber (naked mole-rat), 2310 nucleotides. Lineage: Eukaryota; Metazoa; Chordata; Mammalia; Rodentia; Bathyergidae. The record is from RefSeq and is a predicted model, not a curated record.
UAGUAAGUGGGAAAAAUAUUUUUAAAAGCUAUAAGUACAAGAGGUAUACUUUUGAUAUGAAAGGAUUUUUUUAUGUUUUUCUUGUUAGAAGGAUACAGAGACAAGACCAAAAGGCCUAGGUAUGUUGAGAAGACCUAAUGUCAUGAUCUUCUCUUCUGAGUGUUCAACAACUAAAGUUUGGAGACCAAACUGAAAAGAUAACUGGCUAUGAGGACAGCCAAUAUUUUGGCUCUGGGCGUUCAAGGUCAACAAAGAUCCAAGACAUAAGGGAACCUUCUCUACAGGAUCCUACAUCUUUGGAGUGGUACACCUUCAGCCAUUGGAAAGGAAGAAAUCUCAUUGCUUGAGACUCCAUGAUUAGAACUGGAGAUCAUCAUGUUGAAGGAAAUAAGGCAGGCUCAGAAGGACAAGUAUUGCACCAUCAUAUUCAUAUGUGGAAUCUGAAAAAAGUGUUGAUCUUAUAGAAGUUGAGCGUGGGAUGGUGACCAGAUGUUGGUUUGAUAAACGGAUACUAAGAGUUAGAUAGUUCUGCCAUGCAAUUUUGCAGUAAGCUGACUAUAAAUAAUGAUAAAUACUGAUAAUUUCAGAAAGUUACAAAAAUUUUUGAAACUUUUGUCUAUUCUGAAAAGAUAAAUAUUUGAGAAGAUAGAUAUGUUUAAACUUGACUUUAAUUCUACACAUGUAUUGAAAUAUCAUGGUACUCCAUUAAUAUGUGCAAUUUUUACAUUUUUAUGUUUCAGCUUAAAAAUAAAUGUGAUUCAAAUUUAAAAGAAUGGAGUAGCGCAUGAGUGUAUUAGUGAAAGACCAUGUUUAAUUGUUGUGACAAGUUAGAAAUUUGUUCUCCUAACAAGAAAUGACUCUAAUUGUAUUUGCAAACAAGUAGGAAAUUUUUGUGGAGGAAAAAGUUUAUGCAGAUUCUGUAAAACAAGGAAUAAUUCAUGCAUGGCAUAAUUUAUUCCAUCAAAAUUCAGCUUCACUUAUGCUUCUCUAAGGACAUUUGUAAGUAUUCCAGUGUAUCUCAAAUCUUGCAUAUAUACAUUUGCUAAUAUUUUAAAGUUGACUCAUGCUAAUAUUUAUAACUUGUGUUUUUUCCUCCAGUUCACAACCUCUCCCUGUUAGGCUAUUCCAUUUUCUACAACGUUAGGAAUCCAGGAUUUUAAACAAAAGACCAAUCUUCUACCAAAGUGUUAUAUCUACCACAGUGUAAUUUCUGUGUAACUGUCAAAACUUUCUUCCCUGAGUUGAAAUCCUUAACAAAACUGCUUUAUAGUUUUGCAGUCCACAAAGAUAGCCACCCACAUGGCAUUGAUAUAAAGGUCAGUCAUAGGCCUCUGUACACCAUUUUGUUUAUUUUUAUUACUUGAGUCUCAGACCAAAGCUGUUUGUAUCCCAGAGAUGCAAAAGAACUGUUCAGUUCAUCUUGAUAGGCACAUCUCUAUUCCUAAGGCUCAAGCUCAAGUGGUUGCAGGAGGUUAAGGAAACUGACCUGUAGAUAUACUCCACUCAGUGGAGGACGUGGUUGUUUAACCAUGUUACUUAAACUAUGUAACUAGUUUUAAGAAAUUCCCACCAGAGUACCAAACAGGGAUAGUCAUGAUUGAAUCCCAGCCAUGGAAAAUUCUUUGGCUAAAAGUAAUCAUUAUUUUGACUGUUUAUUCCUAUUUGAGGACUAGGAAUAUAUCAAUUUUGACACUGAAAACAUUAUUUAACCAUCAUGCAUGAAACUCAGUGCAGUAAUAGAUAAUCCAUACAUUACUCCAACAUGUACAAAUUCUGUAGUAGUUCAGAGUAUCUGAUGUCAUAUUCCCUGCAAUUGAAUCAUAGAUGUGCCCUGUCAAAAAGUCACUUAACCUUCUGCACCUCAGUUUCUUCAUCCUUUAAAUGGGGUUGACAUUACAAACAUAGUUCACAGAAGCCUUUUCUAAAAAGACUCAGUGCAGGUAAGUAGUAAAUAAUCCCUAUUUACUAUGAUGACUUUUGUUAUAUCAUUAACAGAUCACUUUUCUUUUAAAACCAUCAUAAAUGUUUAAAGUGAUUUGUCAUUUUUACUUGUUCUUGUCUUACAUGAGUGAUGGUCAAUAGUCAAAGGUAUAAAUCUAAACACUAGUAAAUUGUGGCACAUAAUACAUAAAUAAAUCUUUUUGAUAUAUCAAAAGAAGGAUGAAGACAUGUUAAACCACAAUGAAAUCUAUACUCAAGUUGGAUAUGUUAGAAAGGAGCAAAUAUUUAAUGAUCAAAUUUUGUCACAAUACAAAUCAUUUGUUUACAAAGUCUCUCUUUAUAUCAUUUUAUAAUAGAAUUAUGUACAAG